Long non-coding RNA from Camelina sativa (false flax), 735 nucleotides. RefSeq lists it as uncharacterized. The record is from RefSeq and is a predicted model, not a curated record. NCBI's taxonomy places the organism in Eukaryota, Viridiplantae, Streptophyta, Magnoliopsida, Brassicales, Brassicaceae.
AUGAGAAAAUAGAAAAGAUAAAUUUUGUUCUUCCCGUUUUCUUCUGUUUUUUGCGACUCUCUUGACGGAAACAACGACUCUCUUCCCUUGAAUCGAUUGAUUUUUGACACCAAUUUUACACUUUCCCCUCUUUGAGUUGUUUCGUCGUCUUCAGCUCUUCAUCGGCCGUUGUACUUUCCAGUGACAAGAAAGAGAGAGUUCGGAGAGAGAGAGCAAGACAGAUCCUCAUCGUCUUGGUUCUUGUUUCUUCCUCGAUCUCUCGAUCUUCUCCUCUGAUUUAAGACUGGAGAUAUGAUAUGGGUUUGAAAAAUGAAGAAGAUUCAUAACCAAAAAGUAAAAUUGUGUAUAAUACUGAUGAUGAAGAUGAUUAUAAUGAUCUUGAUGAUGAGCUUGUACCAAGGAGCGUGAGCAAGAAGCUUAAAAGACAGAGGAUUCGGAAAUUGGGAAAGAGAUGUUCGUAUUUGCAGUUGAAACCUGGGUGUGCUCAUCAGCUCAUGACAAGCAUGGGUUUGGCAUCAAUUUCAGAUGCUGAUUCAAUUUCUUGAAAAUUUUCAUCAAUGAAACGGUUUUGAUUACUCAUGUGUUUUGUGUGUAAAUGGUAGUGUUGGAUCUUUGCUUAUUGAUUUGUUCUUGGAUAGUUCAGUUUAUGCAAUCUUGUAAAAAUAGAUCUUUAGGUGCUAUAUGAAUUGUGUUAACUUCAACUAACACUCUUUAGUCCAUGAAUAGUUUCUUCAA